RNAcentral lists this ribosomal RNA (260 nucleotides) under uncultured bacterium. RNAcentral describes it as "partial 16S ribosomal RNA". It matches the Rfam family "Bacterial small subunit ribosomal RNA", at positions 335 to 591 of the family's 1533-position model. The record is from RNAcentral.
CCUCCUACGGGGGGCAGCAGUGAGGAAUAUUGGUCAAUGGGCGGGAGCCUGAACCAGCCAAGUCGCGUGAGGGAAGACGGUCCUACGGAUUGUAAACCUCUUUUGCCGGGGAGCAACGGGGUCCUUGCGAGGGCCCGAUGAGAGUACCCGGAGAAAAAGCAUCGGCUAACUCCGUGCCAGCAGCCGCGGUAAUACGGAGGAUGCGAGCGUUAUCCGGAUUUAUUGGGCGUAAAGCGAGCGCAGGCGGUUGCGUAGGUCUG